Molecule: ribosomal RNA, 1208 nt
Filed under: Bacillus altitudinis
Lineage: Bacteria; Bacillati; Bacillota; Bacilli; Caryophanales; Bacillaceae
Description: bacterial SSU rRNA
Rfam family: Bacterial small subunit ribosomal RNA
Source: RNAcentral
GAUCCUGGCUCAGGACGAACGCUGGCGGCGUGCCUAAUACAUGCAAGUCGAGCGGACAGAAGGGAGCUUGCUCCCGGAUGUUAGCGGCGGACGGGUGAGUAACACGUGGGUAACCUGCCUGUAAGACUGGGAUAACUCCGGGAAACCGGAGCUAAUACCGGAUAGUUCCUUGAACCGCAUGGUUCAAGGAUGAAAGACGGUUUCGGCUGUCACUUACAGAUGGACCCGCGGCGCAUUAGCUAGUUGGUGAGGUAACGGCUCACCAAGGCGACGAUGCGUAGCCGACCUGAGAGGGUGAUCGGCCACACUGGGACUGAGACACGGCCCAGACUCCUACGGGAGGCAGCAGUAGGGAAUCUUCCGCAAUGGACGAAAGUCUGACGGAGCAACGCCGCGUGAGUGAUGAAGGUUUUCGGAUCGUAAAGCUCUGUUGUUAGGGAAGAACAAGUGCAAGAGUAACUGCUUGCACCUUGACGGUACCUAACCAGAAAGCCACGGCUAACUACGUGCCAGCAGCCGCGGUAAUACGUAGGUGGCAAGCGUUGUCCGGAAUUAUUGGGCGUAAAGGGCUCGCAGGCGGUUUCUUAAGUCUGAUGUGAAAGCCCCCGGCUCAACCGGGGAGGGUCAUUGGAAACUGGGAAACUUGAGUGCAGAAGAGGAGAGUGGAAUUCCACGUGUAGCGGUGAAAUGCGUAGAGAUGUGGAGGAACACCAGUGGCGAAGGCGACUCUCUGGUCUGUAACUGACGCUGAGGAGCGAAAGCGUGGGGAGCGAACAGGAUUAGAUACCCUGGUAGUCCACGCCGUAAACGAUGAGUGCUAAGUGUUAGGGGGUUUCCGCCCCUUAGUGCUGCAGCUAACGCAUUAAGCACUCCGCCUGGGGAGUACGGUCGCAAGACUGAAACUCAAAGGAAUUGACGGGGGCCCGCACAAGCGGUGGAGCAUGUGGUUUAAUUCGAAGCAACGCGAAGAACCUUACCAGGUCUUGACAUCCUCUGACAACCCUAGAGAUAGGGCUUUCCCUUCGGGGACAGAGUGACAGGUGGUGCAUGGUUGUCGUCAGCUCGUGUCGUGAGAUGUUGGGUUAAGUCCCGCAACGAGCGCAACCCUUGAUCUUAGUUGCCAGCAUUCAGUUGGGCACUCUAAGGUGACUGCCGGUGACAAACCGGAGGAAGGUGGGGAUGACGUCAAAUCAUCAUGCCCCUUAUGA